Caenorhabditis brenneri is the source of this 71-nucleotide non-coding RNA. Lineage: Eukaryota; Metazoa; Nematoda; Chromadorea; Rhabditida; Rhabditidae. The record is from the annotation of a GenBank genome assembly.
GCACUCAUGGCGCAGUGGCUAGCGCAGCCGACUGUCGAUCUGGCGGCGGGGGUUCAAUCCCCGCGGCAGCG